RNAcentral lists this long non-coding RNA (824 nucleotides) under Medicago truncatula (barrel medic). Its description in RNAcentral is "long non-coding RNA (MTRU_LNC003542)". The record is from RNAcentral. Lineage: Eukaryota; Viridiplantae; Streptophyta; Magnoliopsida; Fabales; Fabaceae.
UUUUAUGUUGAAGAGACCAACCAACAUAAUAAAGCAUUUAAGCAUGGCUUGCUUUAGUGCUGUUUGUUGCAAAUAGCGGUUGUUAUAUUUCACAAGAGACCAUAACAUAACAUGUGAAGUCUCUUAAACUUGUAAAAUGCUCCAUGGUGCAAAGUGGUGUUGAUAAGUAUUAAAUAAUGCAUCCUCCUCAAAAAAAAUAAAACUAUUAACUGAUGAAUCAUCACGAAAAAAGAGGUUAACGGAUACUUGAACGUGUUCUGUUUUGAAGUUCAUGGUAGGUAGGCUGCACUUUCUAUGAACAAUUAGUAAUCAUUCUCAUAUAUACACUAUGCAGGGAGCAAGAAAAUCUUUACUACAAUGAAAUUUGCAAUAUGUUGUGUUGAAAACUUAUUUAUUUGAAGAAAAAAAAAUUGUUGUUAAUAUUUUGGUAAUAUACAUACCUCCAAUGGGGAUCACUUAAUCAACACCCACCCCUUCUUUAUAGGAUUCUAUGAAUUUCACCUGAUCAAAACUAAAAUUUAGGAGGAAAAUUGUUAAAUAUAUGUUACUAACACACUUGUAAGAGGUAUUUUAUAAAUCAAAUUUUCAUUCAUGAGAUAGUAAAGAGUGGAGACAAUCGAGGUAACAUUUUAUUCCAUUGUUUAGGACAGAAAAAAAUAGUUAUUAAUUUUUAGUCGCUAAACUAUUUUUAGAGUAGUUUUUCUUAAAAAAUAAAAAAUAUAUGGAGACUUAACUUUUUAUUUGAGUUAGAACAUUUUGUUUACACAAUUUGAGUUUAUCAUUGGACAAUGUAAGAGAUUAUGCAUGUGCAUGCUGAUAUGAGG